CACGCUAACACAUGCAAGUCGAACGAAGUAGCAAUACUUAGUGGCAGACGGGUGAGUAACAUGUAGGUAUCUGCCCUUUGGCCUGGAAUAACACGAGGAAACUUGUGCUAAUACCGGGAUAAGUCUUUACGGAGAAAGCUUUAUGCACCAUUGGAUGAGCCUGCACUUGAUUAGUUUGUUGGUGGGGUAAUGGCCUACCAAGACUGUGAUCAAUAGCUGAUUUGAGAGGAUGAUCAGCCACAUUGGGACUGAGACACGGCCCAAACUCCUACGGGAGGCAGCAGUGGGGAAUCUUGCACAAUGGAGGAAACUCUGAUGCAGCGAUGCCGCGUGAGUGAAGAAGGCCUUUGGGUUGUAAAGCUCUUUCGUCGGGGAAGAAAAUGACUGUACCCGAAUAAGAAGGUCCGGCUAACUUCGUGCCAGCAGCCGCGGUAAUACGAAGGGACCUAGCGUAGUUCGGAAUUACUGGGCUUAAAGAGUUCGUAGGUGGUUGAAAAAGUUAGUGGUGAAAUCCCAGAGCUUAACUCUGGAACUGCCAUUAAAACUUUUCAGCUAGAGUAUGAUAGAGGAAAGCAGAAUUUCUAGUGUAGAGGUGAAAUUCGUAGAUAUUAGAAAGAAUACCAAUUGCGAAGGCAGCUUUCUGGAUCAUUACUGACACUGAGGAACGAAAGCAUGGGUAGCGAAGAGGAUUAGAUACCCUCGUAGUCCAUGCCGUAAACGAUGUGUGUUAGACGUUGGAAAUUUAUUUUCAGUGUCGCAGCGAAAGCGAUAAACACACCGCCUGGGGAGUACGACCGCAAGGUUAAAACUCAAAUGAAUUGACGGGGACCCGCACAAGUAGUGGAGCAUGUGGUUUAAUUCG
Molecule: ribosomal RNA, 862 nt
Filed under: marine metagenome
Description: bacterial SSU rRNA
Rfam family: Bacterial small subunit ribosomal RNA
Source: RNAcentral